GAUGAACGCUGGCGGCGUGCCUAAUACAUGCAAGUCGAGCGAACAGACGAGGAGCUUGCUCCUCUGACGUUAGCGGCGGACGGGUGAGUAACACGUGGAUAACCUACCUAUAAGACUGGGAUAACUUCGGGAAACCGGAGCUAAUACCGGAUAAUAUAUUGAACCGCAUGGUUCAAUAGUGAAAGACGGUUUUGCUGUCACUUAUAGAUGGAUCCGCGCCGCAUUAGCUAGUUGGUAAGGUAACGGCUUACCAAGGCAACGAUGCGUAGCCGACCUGAGAGGGUGAUCGGCCACACUGGAACUGAGACACGGUCCAGACUCCUACGGGAGGCAGCAGUAGGGAAUCUUCCGCAAGGGGCGAAAGCUUGACGGAGCAACGCCGCGUGAGUGAUGAAGGUCUUCGGAUCGUAAAACUCUGUUAUUAGGGAAGAACAAAUGUGUAAGUAACUAUGCACGUCUUGACGGUACCUAAGCAGAAAGCCACGGCUAACUACGU
This 496-nucleotide ribosomal RNA is filed under the name uncultured bacterium. RNAcentral's name for it is "partial 16S ribosomal RNA". It matches the Rfam family "Bacterial small subunit ribosomal RNA", at positions 28 to 506 of the family's 1533-position model. The record is from RNAcentral.